CAUGAAGUCGGAAUUGCUGUAAUCGCGGAUCAGCAUGCCGCGGUGAAUACGUUCCCGGGCCUCGUACACACCGCCCGUCACACCAUGGGAGCCGGUAAUACCCGAAGUCAGUAGUCCAACCACGUGAGGACGCUGCCGAAGGUAGGAUUGGCGACUGGGGUGAAGUCGUAACAAGGUAUC
RNAcentral lists this ribosomal RNA (180 nucleotides) under uncultured bacterium. RNAcentral describes it as "partial 16S ribosomal RNA". It matches the Rfam family "Bacterial small subunit ribosomal RNA", at positions 1319 to 1500 of the family's 1533-position model. The record is from RNAcentral.